GAUGAACGCUGGCGGCGUGCCUAAUACAUGCAAGUCGAGCGAACGGAUAAGGAGCUUGCUCCUUUGAAGUUAGCGGCGGACGGGUGAGUAACACGUGGGUAACCUACCUAUAAGACUGGAAUAACUUCGGGAAACCGGAGCUAAUGCCGGAUAACAUAUAGAACCGCAUGGUUCUAUAGUGAAAGAUGGUUUUGCUAUCACUUAUAGAUGGACCCGCGCUGUAUUAGCUAGUUGGUAAGGUAAUGGCUUACCAAGGCGACGAUACAUAGCCGACCUGAGAGGGUGAUCGGCCACACUGGAACUGAGACACGGUCCAGACUCCUACGGGAGGCAGCAGUAGGGAAUCUUCCGCAAUGGGCGAAAGCCUGACGGAGCAACGCCGCGUGAGUGAUGAAGGUUUUCGGAUCGUAAAACUCUGUUAUUAGGGAAGAACAAAUGCGUAAGUAACUGUGCGCAUCUUGACGGUACCUAAUCAGAAAGCCACGGCUAACUACGUGCCAGCAGCCGCGGUAAUACGUAGGUGGCAAGCGUUAUCCGGAAUUAUUGGGCGUAAAGCGCGCGUAGGCGGUUUCUUAAGUCUGAUGUGAAAGCCCACGGCUCAACCGUGGAGGGUCAUUGGAAACUGGGAAACUUGAGUGCAGAAGAGGAAAGUGGAAUUCCAUGUGUAGCGGUGAAAUGCGCAGAGAUAUGGAGGAACACCAGUGGCGAAGGCGACUUUCUGGUCUGUAACUGACGCUGAUGUGCGAAAGCGUGGGGAUCAAACAGGAUUAGAUACCCUGGUAGUCCACGCCGUAAACGAUGAGUGCUAAGUGUUAGGGGGUUUCCGCCCCUUAGUGCUGCAGCUAACGCAUUAAGCACUCCGCCUGGGGAGUACGACCGCAAGGUUGAAACUCAAAGGAAUUGACGGGGACCCGCACAAGCGGUGGAGCAUGUGGUUUAAUU
This 942-nucleotide ribosomal RNA is filed under the name Staphylococcus casei. Its description in RNAcentral is "bacterial SSU rRNA". It matches the Rfam family "Bacterial small subunit ribosomal RNA", at positions 28 to 951 of the family's 1533-position model. The record is from RNAcentral. Lineage: Bacteria; Bacillati; Bacillota; Bacilli; Caryophanales; Staphylococcaceae.